RNAcentral lists this small RNA (29 nucleotides) under Bombyx mori (domestic silkworm). RNAcentral describes it as "ovarian small RNA-13787". The record is from RNAcentral. Lineage: Eukaryota; Metazoa; Arthropoda; Insecta; Lepidoptera; Bombycidae.
CCGAGAAUGGGCCUUACGCGCCCGCAGCU